Rosa rugosa (rugosa rose) is the source of this 227-nucleotide long non-coding RNA. RefSeq lists it as uncharacterized. The transcript has 3 exons. NCBI's taxonomy places the organism in Eukaryota, Viridiplantae, Streptophyta, Magnoliopsida, Rosales, Rosaceae. The record is from RefSeq and is a predicted model, not a curated record.
AGGUGAGACAAGUUGAAUCCCAUGAGCUUUCAACCAAUAUCCCGCCUUAAUCUUGCUGGAAAUAAUGCACUCUUUCACGCAUCACAGGCCAUUCUGGUUCACAUGAGCCUCAAUGUUGCCAAGUCAGAUGCGAAGAAGAGGAACAACCUUAUGGAAGACAACAUGCCUAAGUAGAUAUAGAAGUUGUAUUAUUAAUCUGCUUUUGUUUUAAGUUGUUAUUGGGAAUG